Molecule: ribosomal RNA, 253 nt
Filed under: uncultured bacterium
Lineage: Bacteria
Description: partial 16S ribosomal RNA
Rfam family: Bacterial small subunit ribosomal RNA
Source: RNAcentral
GACGUAGGGGACGAGCGUUGUCCGGAUUCAUUGGGCGUAAAGCGCGCGUAGGCGGUUACGCAAGUCGGUUGUGAAAAUCCGGGGCUCAACCCCGGACCUGCAUCCGAUACUGCGUGACUAGAGGUAGGUAGGGGAGAUCGGAAUUCCUGGUGUAGCGGUGAAAUGCGUAGAUAUCAAGUGGAACACCAGUGGCGAAGGCGAAUCCCUGGAAAAUACCUGACACUGAGGCACGAAAGCUAGGGGAGCAAACAGG